AGCCUUCUGUAUCCGUGCUGAGAUUUCGUCGGCGAUCAAUCCGUUUGGCUGGCUGAUGCAACUUCGCAAAUAAGUGGAGCG
RNAcentral lists this microRNA precursor (81 nucleotides) under Trichobilharzia regenti. RNAcentral describes it as "mir-3492 microRNA precursor family". It matches the Rfam family "mir-3492 microRNA precursor family". The record is from Rfam by way of RNAcentral. Lineage: Eukaryota; Metazoa; Platyhelminthes; Trematoda; Strigeidida; Schistosomatidae.